ACUCCUACGGGAGGCAGCAGUGAGGAAUAUUGGUCAAUGGUCGCAAGACUGAACCAGCCAUGCCGCGUGCAGGAAGACGGUCCUAUGGAUUGUAAACUGCUUUUAUACAGGAAGAAACCCCUCCCACGUGUGGGAGCUUGACGGUACCGUAGGAAUAAGGAUCGGCUAACUCCGUGCCAGCAGCCGCGGUAAUACGGAGGAUCCAAGCGUUAUCCGGAAUCAUUGGGGUUUAAAGGGUCCGUAGGCGGCCUUAUAAGUCAGUGGUGAAAGCCCAUCGCUCAACGAUGGAACUGCCAUUGAUACUGUAAGGCUUGAAUUAUUGUGAAGUAACUAGAAUAUGUAGUGUAGCGGUGAAAUGCUUAGAUAUUACAUGGAAUACCAAUUGCGAAGGCAGGUUACUAACAAUGGAUUGACGCUGAUGGACGAAAGCGUGGGGAGCGAACAGGAUUAGAUACCCUGGUAGACUGUCA
Molecule: ribosomal RNA, 470 nt
Filed under: uncultured bacterium
Lineage: Bacteria
Description: bacterial SSU rRNA
Rfam family: Bacterial small subunit ribosomal RNA
Source: RNAcentral